Molecule: long non-coding RNA, 1111 nt
Filed under: Macaca nemestrina (pig-tailed macaque)
Lineage: Eukaryota; Metazoa; Chordata; Mammalia; Primates; Cercopithecidae
Description: lncRNA (ENSMNEG00000046057.1)
Source: RNAcentral
AUCUGAUGAUGACGUCGUGCAGUGCCUCACGGAAGGCAGAGCCUGAGGCAAGUUUUACAACCGAUCAACUCUGUCCAGUAAUACCACAGCAAGGUAAUCUAAUUGUGAAUGUGAACCAGUCACUUCAUCUUCCAUUAGAGUGAACAUAGAUUAUGCAUAUAUUUAAAAUGAUAUUAUAUGAAUAGAAAUAAUUCCAACCUUUCCCUAAGUUACUUGCUAAAAAAUAAAUGUAUAAUAUGUGAGGAUAAUAGUUGAUCACAGAGGAUUAUUUGCAAAUAUAUAUCUUAACUUUUACACUCACAUUGAUCCAUAUGUUUAGUGUUUUAUGCAUUUCUCUCUGUGACAGCAUCAACAUGUGGGCAAAUUCCUGAAUCCAGUUUUCAAACAUACACUCACAGUCAUGAGGUAGAGGAGUUAAUCUCCUUGAGUUAUAGUCAGUUAUGUGAGAUGGUACUUAGUUAUCAUGUGGGCAUCUUCAUUUGGCCAUCUCCUGGGUAAAUGGCAGAGAUAUCUGAUGGUUAAUGAUUAUUCAGAGCCAUAUUAUGCUAGAAUGGUUAGCUAAGUGAAUAAUGUAUCUUAUCUCUAUUUUUUUUCUUGACCCUUCAACAUUAGCUCCCUUUGCUAUUUAGGAUAAGCAGAGAUGGUGUAAUCUUAAGACUUUGGAUUUGUGGACUUUGAAGUUUUCUCAGCACAAUAAGCUCUUUUUCUACUGUGUCUACUUUUGCCACGGGCCACCGCUCAUUGUACAACCAGCAUGCGGUUCCCUGAAGUAAACCUUCCUGAGAGUCUGUAAAAAGAGAAUCUAAGGAAAUAGAGCCCUUCAUCAAAAGAUUUCCGCAUGAGCACGCAUUCAAUUCUCCACUGUUUUGAUAAGAUGAAUCAUGUGUGGAUAAAUUGUGGAUCACAUUUAUCUUUUGAAACUUACUACUUAAGGAGGAAUGUACCACAAGGAAAGGCCUUGGAAGAUUAUGGGAAAGGAAGAGGACAGAGAAUUUGUAAAUGUCUGCGAGUUGGAAAAAGCCUAGUAUACUUUAAGAAGGGAAAGAAGAACAACGUGAAUGUAGGAAAAGCAACUCCAGCACUCUUGUCAACAUUCUGUGCAUUCAUGUAA